ACACCCAUGGCAGGUGGAAGUUCCCCGGCCAGGAAUUGACCCUGAGCCACAGCAGUGACUCGAGCCACAGCAGUGACAACGCCAGGCCCCCAGCCUGCUAAAACACCAGGGCACUCUCUUGCAUUGUUUUUUCAAUUGGAGUCGCUUACCUGACCCUGCUCAGCCGUAGCAUCAGUAGGGAAGAAGCUAGAUGGAAAGACAUCACCUGCGCCAUGAAGUUGAGAAGGACCAGCGGCCUGUGAUGGACUUGAAUCCAUAUUCCCAGGCUCACUGCCCCAUAUGCGGUUACACAGGACCCAGAAAUAUCACGCCACAAAGCAUGAGACAACAAAUCACCACAUCGCCAUUCUUUGAAAAAUAGACAUAAAAUGUCACCCACGCGUCAUCAGGGUCCCUGCCCCAGGAGGUCUGGGUGGACUUCACCCAUCCCAGCACUAUGGCCCGUGGCUGGCUGGAGCCCUCACCUGAUGUCCGUGCAUCUCUGUCCUCUGGGCCCCUCUGGCCUCACAGGCUGGCCCUGACCGACCCUGAGCCUCAGAACCUGCCUCGCCAGCAGUUUCCCACAGAAACGCCUUCCACAUCAAGUGGUCUGUGCUUUUUUGUUUGCCAUGGGCUUUUUAGUUGCGUGUCAGAGAAACAGUCGCCCACACGGCACACAAAGAGACCAUCUCCUGAGUGUCCGCACUGCUUCCCCUCCCCCCUCCCCUUCCCCCUGGUGCGGCCAAGCGCUCCCCUCCUGAUUCUGGCCCCAGAGUCAGGUCUGUCCUUGGUCCCUUUAAGGUAUUAGCUUCUCCCCGUAGUUAAUGCAUGAAGAAAAUCCCUCCCUCUCUGUCUCUCUCUCCCCCUCUCAUUCUCCAUUAUGGACUUUUGGUGAUUCUGAGUUUCUGUCUCACUUCAUUCAAUACACAGUAGAGCUUAACAGGACUCUUCUUUAGAAAUUGCCUUAAAUAAUUGCCUUAAAUAGGAUUGUUGGGAAACACUGACUAUUUUCAAGUUUCGAUGGGGUCAGGGUCAGGGAUGUCUGAGCAGCGUGGUGGCACCUGGAGUGGAAGCCACUUGAACAGCCAUGAGCACAGCAGUGCGGGUUGCAAGUUGAAGAUCACGGCCCCUGGCGAGAUGGUCAGCUCUCUUGCCCCUGGAGACAGGUGUUGACGUUCCAAAGGGUAAUGAACCUGAGGACCUUCCUGUUCCCUCUCUUUCUCUCUGGGUUGGGGGUGGGGGGGACGGGGAGCAGAUGGACCCUCAGCUCCUAUAUUAGCUUCAAGAUUCAGUCUUGGAGUCCUUCCCCUGGGGUACAAGCCCCUAGACAUGCAAAGUCAUCUGGGCCUCACAGCGGUUCCCCGAGGGAAGAUGGCCCGUGAGUGACCAGCACUAGGAUGGCUGGGUCAGUAAGUCAACCUUGGAUCCAGAAAGCAUGUGUUUCCUCUCAGGACAAGUAAGACGUCUGGAUAUAAAAACACACAAUGUGGCACGAGGAUAUCCACUUUUUUGCAAUUUGAUAGAAGACGGAUCUCCAAAUUUUGAACUGCAUUGUUUCUUUGGAAACUGUUGACUGAAAGAAUAUGCACAACCUAAAAGUUGAGAGUUAAGUUUUAUUUGGAGCAAAAUGAGGACUUAAGCCCUAGGCGGCAGCAUCUCAAGUAACCCUGAGAAAAGCGCUCCAAGGAAGCGAGGUGGGAGCUGGGAUAUACAGGACAAAGAGCAAGUAGGAACAAAAGACCACUGUUAAUAACAGGAAACCCAGGAGUUCCCGUCGUGGCGCAGUGGAAACAAAUCCAACUAGGAACCAUGAGGUUUCGGGUUCGAUCCCUGGUCUUACUCAAUGGGUUAAGGAUCUGGUGUUGCCAUGAGCUGGAAUGUAAGCUGCAGAUGCAGCUCAGAUCCUGUGUUGCUGUGGCUGUGGUAUAGGCUGGCAACUGUAGCUCCAAUUUGACCCCUACCUGGGGAAGAGAGGUUCGUGAAGAAAAAUCAGGGCAGAAACCAUCAAGAUCUCUGACAAUAUAUUUUCUGGUGAGGCGUCGGGUAUUUCAUUAAAUCUAAGAUACUAACAAUUAUAAGAGGAAUCAUCAUUUUAGGGACCACUAAGAAAAACAGAAACAAGCUGCCAAUUAAACUAUGACAAAAUGCCUUCUAGGACCUCAGAAUUUCCAUUUAGGCUUAUUUAGAUUUAGAUGUUUAUGCUAUAGGGACACAUUGUGGUGCGUAUUUACAGUCUAACACAUGUGGAUGUCUUUCCAGUUUAGUCUCAUCGAUGUUCGUGCUGCUGACACAGCAAUUUUUUUCUUUUUCUUUUAAAAAAUGCUUGGAUGGUCCUUUCCAUUCAGCAGUUUAAUACUGGAACUUUCUGGAUUUCUCUAGAAGGUGUCAAUGACAGGCUGGCAAGCAACAACCGGGAAUUGAGUUUCUUUUGGUGUUACCUGGACUUUUAGGUUAACUAAAGCAGCCCAUUUGUGGCUUCUCAAACAUACAUUGUACACCUGCUUUAAUCAUUAAAGAAAAUGGUGCAUUGACCAGAAGUGAAGAAUGUCCACCUUAAAAAUAAAGAUGAAAUCCCACCCUUCCUGGGACAGCAAGGCUGGUGCUUCUUCGAUGAUAAGAGUCCUUUCCUGGGUGUCAAAGCCAUACUGAUUGGCUACUAGCUGUCUUUAAAACAAACACAUAAAAAACCCCAAAACGCGAAGGAAUGUAUCCAUGAUUUCUUUAGUGUUCCUCCUCUAACGAGGUAUAAAACCAGUGAAAACCAUGCUUCUCCAGAGCAGUUCCUUAGAGUUCUUGGAGAGGUUUCCCCGGGGAGAGUCAGUCCUCAGUCUGGCUCAGAUAAAACUCUUUUCUAUUCCUAUUAUAGGUGGUUCAUUAAUUAUUUCUGUCGACAAUGCCCUGAAAUCGCCAAAUGCAGGGCCGCAAGGACCCACCACUAGAGCAGGAUGGCAGCCAGUCGGUGCACCAAGCACAGCAACCGCACUGGGUCCUCGCGGGGAGCCAGCUCCAUGCAGGCUCCUAACCACCCCGAGGCAGAAGUGGGGACGGCCAGGAAAGGGAGCCGGCACCCACCCGGGGACAAGAGACUUCUGGUCGGGGGAGGCCGGGCAGCACUUGGAGGGGAAAACCCUACCUGUGAUUGUUCCAGGCCCCCUCCCUAACCCUCUCAGUGACCCACGCUGAGCUGAGCAGGUACGCAGGGACUGGUGAAUUCAUUCCUUUCACACAGAGGGCCCAAGCAGUGAUUGAAUCGCUGGAAAUUCAGCAGUGAACCCAGCAUGAGCGUCCCCCAGAAUGUGGACUACCUUCUCACAGGGGCCACAGACGGGGGAGCAGAUCCUGAGUCAGUGGGCGGUGAAUAUCUGGAAGUUUCUAGAAGCAGGUGGGGGCGGGAGGGAUUGGGGAAAGAUGAGGGUGGCUGCUGCUGAAAUGAAUUGGCAGGAUAAUGCGCCCCAAUUGCUGGGAGUCCAUCCUCCAUGCUCAUUAAAAUCCACACCUUCCUAUUUUAUCUGAGACUGAGGAUUUCAAAACACACACACACACACACACACACACGCACGUGAACACACACGGGAUCUCUGGAAGCCACCACCUCAAAGCCCUGCCAGGAGCAAACACUCCCUGGUGAGCAUUCAAAAGCAGGCGAUCAAGACAUACAAGAGAUGCAGGAGUUACAGGGAAGGCGCAGUUCUGAUGAGUUAGAACCAGUGUCCCCUGAGACGUGGACUUGCUCCAAGGAGCAGGACAGAAUGACCUCCAGAGUGUUUUUAAUACACUAUGUUUAUUCUCACUGCGAUGGCAGAGACAAGGCAGUCCUGGAAAGAGAACAGCAUCCAGAGGUCAGCGAAAAUUGCCCGCAGUGGAAAAGCUAUUACCAAAUUUUAAAACACAAUAAAAGAGUUUAAUAAGGUGUCCGGUUUACAAAAUAAAUCCAUAAAAAUCGAUGGCUUUCGUUUUACACCAAUAAUAACCUGGCAGAAAGUGUAAUGGGAGGAAAAUUCCACAUGCAGUCAUGACAAUAAAUAUGAAAUACCCAGGAAUAAUUGCCCUGAGAUGUGCUGAAGUCCACGGUGAGCGCUUUAAAAUGUACUUGCCAAGAAGACACACAUAUCAUGUUCUUCAGAGGGAGCAGAGGAUAUGUAGUUUGAAUUUUCCGUGCUGUGAUUCUCAUUACCCUGGGAUUAAUUUGCUCUGGCAUCUGCAUUCUCCACGAUGCUGUGAACUCCAAGAUGCUGUGUCACCUCCUGCUGUGUUUUAGUACAUGUCCAGGUUCCUGGAUCAUAGCAGGUGCUCAGUAAAUACUGGCUGGCUUAGUGAGUCGAGAUGGAGAGGACCACAUCCAGGCUGUUUUAAAGGAACCACCAGAGGAUCCAAGAUUGAGCCCUAAAGCCCGAAAGAAUGGCUCCAAACCACAAUGGUUUUAGACAAUUAGAAAUUUAUUUCUUUCACUGUAGUAUUCCCGGAACCUUGGCAAAGAGGGUAGCGAUCAGCCUCUUAGGCAUUAUCCCAGCCUGGGGUGAAAGGGACAAAGGACCCACCCCACAAAAGCAGCCGUUCUCGCGGCCCCAUGAAGCAGUAAGAGCUAGAAGUCCCCCUCAGACUCCUCUGUACUGGGGGCCAAUGAGGCUCCUUGGAAUGUUCCAGAGACUUCCUUGGGGAACAGGAAGUGCCUUCAAGGCUUUCGAAUGGCAGUGGAAGGAAACCAUUGUUAUUGGAAACAAAAUCUAACCUGGUAACUGCAGCCCUGUCUUCUUAGAAGCUGAGGACCAAAACACAAUCCAAACAGCAGUGGAACAAAAUCUCUAGGCCCUCUCCUUCUUGAAGACCUUGAUGAGGAAGAGAGAAGGAGCAACUCUUCAGGCGGACGCCCCACUGCGUAGGGAGGAUCCUGAUGAAUUUCUGGUCUGCGGAGAGGCUCAGCGUCUAGUCUGGGAGUGAAAAACUGGAAAGCACAACUGUUCUGUAUAUUAAAAGGGAGGAAGAUUUGAGGGUUUACUGAAAACAGGGGGCGCACUGGAGCAGAGGAGAAAGGAGAGAGCAAACUGGUGGAAGAACCAGGAGCCCAGGCUGGUGACAAUGGUCAGAGACUUUAGGAACCAGAAGUCCCAUGGCUCACCUAAGCCAGGCACAGAAACAGAUGGUUCUCAACAUCCAGGAAAGUUGCUGAGCUCCAUGCCUGGAUCUGCAAAAAGGAUAGGAUGCUGCCGAGGGAGGGAAGAGCCAGAGGAGGUCUGAGUUCUGCCAAAGGUCAAACACGAGGUGCAGAAUCCACAGGGAGACUCAGGGCGAGGGUUUGAGAAGACAGCCCUCAAAGGAUUCCUUGGUGUGACUUGCAGGGAAGUUCCAAGAAAGCUCCCCUGAUCCAAAGCCACCCCAACGGCAGGUCUGAUGCCCAUGCAGAAGGUGAUAAACACUCUUGCCCAUCCUGCCCAGAGCAGACCACUCACAGAGCUCAAGCCUGGAAGGACUUUUGCAAGAGCCCAAUUCCUUUCCAACCUCAAGCUUGUCCAUAAAUGACCAUGAGAUCAGGGGAGUGGAAAUAUAGCAAGUGAGGACUGAUGAAAAGAACUCGGGGUGUUUGGACUAAAACAAGAAGGCCUGGGAGGACGAGAGAACCAUCUCCAAACCAGGAUGGGAAUGGGCUUAUCAUCUAUUAUGAUUCUGGAGGGCGAAACUGAAGUCAGAAGAUAGAAGCAGCAGGAAAAAAUAACUUGGCUCAAGGCGAGGGGGGGCGUUCUUGUCGCUUGAGAAAGUGAAAGUGACUUCCUGUGAACAGUGAGAGAAGAGGCAGAGGAGGUGAGAGCCUGACCUCCGGUGCUUGGUGCGGAGUGGUGGGGCACAGUGUCCAAGCUGAAAUGGGGUGAGAUUCUUGGAUGGGAUGCCCUGAUUCUAACCCCCCGCUAAGAUCCCAGCAAUAACACCACCUGCAGAGCCCACCAUGGGAAACGGAGCUGCUCACAGGGCAGGAGGUGGCUCCCUGAAGCUGUGGUGACCAAGCACUUUGGGGAUUAUUUCCAGAGUCAGCAUGAGUGUCUGUGAGUGCACGUGGGGACAGCAGGACAGACCCUCAGCAAGGUCUUGCAAUGACCUUCUCAAGUGGGCCUUCCCUGAGCAGAGGGGUUUCCAGAACAUCUCCUUGCCUGAGUCACUGACUUAAAGGCAGAGAAUUGGGGAA
This 6154-nucleotide long non-coding RNA is filed under the name Sus scrofa (pig). RNAcentral's name for it is "lncRNA (ENSSSCG00065074269.1)". Lineage: Eukaryota; Metazoa; Chordata; Mammalia; Artiodactyla; Suidae. The record is from RNAcentral.